UACGUAGGGUGCGAGCGUUGUCCGGAAUUACUGGGCGUAAAGAGCUCGUAGGUGGUUUGUCGCGUCGUCUGUGAAAUUCCGGGGCUUAACCUCGGGCGUGCAGGCGAUACGGGCAAUACUUGAGUGCUGUAGGGGAGACUGGAAUUCCUGGUGUAGCGGUGAAAUGCGCAGAUAUCAGGAGGAAGACCGAUGGCGAAGGCAGGUCUCUGGGCAGUAACUGACGCUGAGGAACGAAAGCAUGGGUAGCGAACAGGAUUAGAUA
This 262-nucleotide ribosomal RNA is filed under the name uncultured prokaryote. Its description in RNAcentral is "partial 16S ribosomal RNA". It matches the Rfam family "Bacterial small subunit ribosomal RNA", at positions 524 to 784 of the family's 1533-position model. The record is from RNAcentral.